Molecule: ribosomal RNA, 434 nt
Filed under: uncultured bacterium
Lineage: Bacteria
Description: bacterial SSU rRNA
Rfam family: Bacterial small subunit ribosomal RNA
Source: RNAcentral
UGAGGAAUAUUGGUCAAUGGGCGGGAGCCUGAACCAGCCAAGCCGCGUGAGGGAAGAAGGCCCUAUGGGUCGUAAACCUCUUUUGUCAGGGAACAAAAAGCGAGUAUGUAUACUAGUCUGAGUGUACCUGAAGAAAAAGCAUCGGCUAACUCCGUGCCAGCAGCCGCGGUAAUACGGAGGAUGCGAGCGUUAUCCGGAUUUAUUGGGUUUAAAGGGUGCGUAGGCGGCGGUGCAAGUCAGCGGUAAAAGCCCGGGGCUCAACCCCGGCGAGCCGUUGAAACUGCAGUGCUAGAGAAGGCGAGAGGUACGCGGAAUGCGCAGUGUAGCGGUGAAAUGCUUAGAUAUUGCGCAGAACUCCGAUUGCGAAGGCAGCGUACUGGCGCCUGACUGACGCUGAGGCACGAAAGCGUGGGGAUCGAACAGGAUUAGAUACC